GAGGGGUAUUUUUCGAAUAAAAUUGUCCGAGUAAGCGAUAGCCGGGUCUCUAGGUACACCUUAAAUAUAUUUAUAUUUUCCUUGUUUAGGUGAAAGGGAAAAAAUAAGGACAAAAAAUCUUUUCCGAAACACGGAUUCGGGCUUGAACUCGAGAAUCCUAGGAUUAUAAUAGGUAUGUAUAACCAUUACAUCCAUUCGGCUACGACAAACAUAUUCGAGAGAAGGCAAUAUAGAAUUAUUAAAGGGAAAACAUUUUUUUGGCAUACUAGUUUGAACUCGGAAACUCCAGGAUCAUAAUAGGCAU
Cinara cedri is the source of this 304-nucleotide non-coding RNA. Lineage: Eukaryota; Metazoa; Arthropoda; Insecta; Hemiptera; Aphididae. The record is from the annotation of a GenBank genome assembly.